Molecule: long non-coding RNA, 417 nt
Filed under: Salvia miltiorrhiza (redroot sage)
Lineage: Eukaryota; Viridiplantae; Streptophyta; Magnoliopsida; Lamiales; Lamiaceae
Description: long non-coding RNA (SMIL_LNC005256)
Source: RNAcentral
CAUACUGUCUAUUAAAGUGCACAAUACAAACACCAUAUGACCUCAAUCCCUCAGCCAGCUCAAUCACCAAUUCCACCGUCCAACAUUCUCCGCAGCUCCAUAGAACGACGGCGGCGGCAGCGGCAAUUAAGUAUCAGCUCAGCUGCAGCGCGAGAUGCGGCGGCGAGUGGAUCUAAUGUUGGAUUGAGGCGAGCAGGAUCAGCUCCUAGUUCAAAAUGUUGAAGUCAGCAAACGGCGAUGUGGAUCUGGCGGAGGAUAGAGCAGAAACCAGCGCUUCCAGCAGCGGCACGGCGGAAGUAGAGGUGGCCGCGGCGGCGGUGAGCGGCGGCGAUCGGCCGUGGAAGGAGGAAGUGGAGGUGAGGAGGGUUUGGUGGUAGGUUUAAUCCAUCUGAUAGAUCCGGCAGUUUUAAGCUUUUU